GAUGAACGCUAGCGGCAGGCUUAACACAUGCAAGUCGAGGGGCAGCGCGGGUAGCAAUACCUGGCGGCGACCGGCAAACGGGUGCGGAACACGUACUGAACCUACCUUGAUCUGGGGCAUAGCCCGAUGAAAAUCGGAUUAACUCCCCAUAAUAUAGAUGAGUGGCAUCACUUGACUAUUAAAAAUUUAUUGGAUCGAGAUGGCAGUGCGUCCCAUUAGCUAGUUGGUAGGGUAACGGCCUACCAAGGCGACGAUGGGUAGCUGGUGUGAGAGCACGACCAGCCACACGGGCACUGAGACACGGGCCCGACUCCUACGGGAGGCAGCAGUGAGGAAUAUUGGUCAAUGGACGCAAGUCUGAACCAGCCAUGCCGCGUGAAGGAUGAAGGCGUUCUGCGUUGUAAACUUCUUUUAUCUAGGAAGAAACCUCCGAUUUCUAUUGGAGUUGACGGUACCAGAGGAAUAAGCACCGGCUAACUCCGUGCC
RNAcentral lists this ribosomal RNA (486 nucleotides) under uncultured bacterium. RNAcentral's name for it is "bacterial SSU rRNA". It matches the Rfam family "Bacterial small subunit ribosomal RNA", at positions 28 to 509 of the family's 1533-position model. The record is from RNAcentral.